Oncorhynchus tshawytscha (Chinook salmon) is the source of this 369-nucleotide long non-coding RNA. NCBI's taxonomy places the organism in Eukaryota, Metazoa, Chordata, Actinopteri, Salmoniformes, Salmonidae. The record is from Ensembl.
UGAGGGUAGAGGAAGGACAUCAGUAAUAGAUGGUUGAGGGUAGAGGAAGGACAUCAGUAAUAGAUGGGAGAGGUUGAGGGUAGAGGAAGGACAUCAGUAAUAGAUGAGAGAGGUUGAGGGUAGAGGAAGGACAUCAGUAAUAGAUGAGAGAGGUUGAGGGUAGAGGAAGGAAAUCAGAAAUAGAUGAGAGAGGUUGAGGGUAGAGGAAGGACAUCAGUAAUAGAUGAGAGAGGUUGAGGGUAGAGGAAGGACAUCAGAAAUAGAUGAGAGAGGUUGAGGGUAGAUGAAGGACAUCAGUAAUAGAUGAGAGAGGUUGAGGUUAGAGGAAGGACAUCAGUAAUAGAUGAGAGAGGUUGAGGGUAGAGGAAG